Molecule: non-coding RNA, 611 nt
Organism: Leptonychotes weddellii (Weddell seal)
Lineage: Eukaryota; Metazoa; Chordata; Mammalia; Carnivora; Phocidae
Source: RefSeq, a predicted model, not a curated record
UUGAAUCUGUGUUCCUAGACACUGUUUCCAGCAAAUUACAAAACAACAAUGUUUAUACUAUUGCCAAGAGGAAUGUGGAAGGGCAGGACAUGCUGUACCAAUCCCUGAAGCUCACGAAUGGUAUUUGGAUUUUGGCUGAGCUACGUAUCCAGCCAGGAAACCCAAAUUAUACGCUGUCGCUGAAAUGUAGAGCUCCCGAAGUCUCUCAGUACAUCUAUCAGGUCUACGACAGCAUUUUGAAAAACUAAUAGACUGGUCCGGGGCCCUCCGGCCACCCUGUGAUUGGUGCAAGCCAAGAACUCUUAACUGGAAGAAAUCGUAUUGCCGUGUAGAAUCUGAACCCAAACACACUGAGGCCGCCCACCAAGGUAGUGACUAGUCUAACCUGUGCUAACAUUAGGGCACAACCUGUUGGAUAAUUUUAGCUUCCUGUGAAAAUUUGUAACCACUGCUUCGAUCACACCCCACCUCUUGCCACCUGCCUCUGCGAUCUGUCCUUACUUGUGAGCUUCUCCAUAGUGUAGUUUGAUAUUUUGUAAUUGAGAGUUCAUUUCAAAAGCAGAAAAAGACAAAAAAUAUUAAAGCAAGGAAAAGUGUCACUGAAACAUAAA